Molecule: ribosomal RNA, 783 nt
Filed under: uncultured Gammaproteobacteria bacterium
Lineage: Bacteria; Pseudomonadati; Pseudomonadota; Gammaproteobacteria
Description: bacterial SSU rRNA
Rfam family: Bacterial small subunit ribosomal RNA
Source: RNAcentral
AUUGAACGCUGGCGGUAGGCUUAACACAUGCAAGUCGUGCGAGAAAGUAUCUUCGGAUAUGAGUAGAGCGGCGGACGGGUGAGUAACGCGUAGGAAUCUACCUAGUAGAAGGGGAUAGCCCGGGGAAACUCGGAUUAAUACCGUAUACCUCCUUCGGGAGAAAGAAGGCCUCUCUUUGAAGCUUUCGCUAUUAGAUGAGCCUGCGUAAGAUUAGCUUGUUGGUGAGGUAAAGGCUCACCAAGGCUACGAUCUUUAGCUGGUCUGAGAGGACGAUCAGCCACAUUGGGACUGAGACACGGCCCAGACUCCUACGGGAGGCAGCAGUGGGGAAUAUUGGACAAUGGGCGCAAGCCUGAUCCAGCCAUACCGCGUGUGUGAAGAAGGCCUUCGGGUUGUAAAGCACUUUAAGCAGGGAGAAAAAGUUAUAGGUUAAUACCCUAUGACCCUGAUGUUACCUGCAGAAUAAGCACCGGCUAAUUCCGUGCCAGCAGCCGCGGUAAUACGGAAGGUGCAAGCGUUAAUCGGAAUUACUGGGCGUAAAGCGCGCGUAGGUGGUUUGUUAAGUUGGAUGUGAAAGCCCUGGGCUCAACCUAGGAACUGCAUCCAAAACUAACUCACUAGAGUACGAUAGAGGGAGGUAGAAUUCAUAGUGUAGCGGUGGAAUGCGUAGAUAUUAUGAAGAAUACCAGUGGCGAAGGCGGCCUCCUGGAUCUGUACUGACACUGAGGUGCGAAAGCGUGAGUAGCGAACAGGAUUAGAUACCCUGGUAGUCCACGCCGUAAA